GACGAACGCUGGCGGCGUGCCUAAUACAUGCAAGUCGAACGCAGUGGGGACGGGUGAGUAACACGUGGGUAACCUCCCAUCAGACGGUAUAACACUUGGUAACAGGUGCUAAACCGCUACUGAUGGAUGGAUCCGCGGUGCAUUAGCUGGUUGGUGAGGUAACGGCUCACCAAGGCCACGAUGCAUAGCCGGUCUGAGAGGUGGAUCGGCCACACUGGGACUGAGACACGGCCCAAACUCCUACGGGAGGCAGCAGUAGGGAAUCUUCGACAAUGGACGAAAGUCUGACGGAGCAACGCCGCGUGAGUGAAGAAGGUUUUCGGAUCGUAAAGCUCUGUUGUUAGAGAAGCGGUAUCUAACCAGAAAGCCACGGCUAACUACGUGCCAGCAGCCGCGGUAAUUC
This 403-nucleotide ribosomal RNA is filed under the name uncultured bacterium. RNAcentral describes it as "partial 16S ribosomal RNA". It matches the Rfam family "Bacterial small subunit ribosomal RNA", at positions 28 to 526 of the family's 1533-position model. The record is from RNAcentral.